This 1544-nucleotide ribosomal RNA is filed under the name Salmonella enterica subsp. enterica serovar Dublin. RNAcentral describes it as "bacterial SSU rRNA". It matches the Rfam family "Bacterial small subunit ribosomal RNA". Lineage: Bacteria; Pseudomonadati; Pseudomonadota; Gammaproteobacteria; Enterobacterales; Enterobacteriaceae. The record is from RNAcentral.
AAAUUGAAGAGUUUGAUCAUGGCUCAGAUUGAACGCUGGCGGCAGGCCUAACACAUGCAAGUCGAACGGUAACAGGAAGCAGCUUGCUGCUUCGCUGACGAGUGGCGGACGGGUGAGUAAUGUCUGGGAAACUGCCUGAUGGAGGGGGAUAACUACUGGAAACGGUGGCUAAUACCGCAUAACGUCGCAAGACCAAAGAGGGGGACCUUCGGGCCUCUUGCCAUCAGAUGUGCCCAGAUGGGAUUAGCUUGUUGGUGAGGUAACGGCUCACCAAGGCGACGAUCCCUAGCUGGUCUGAGAGGAUGACCAGCCACACUGGAACUGAGACACGGUCCAGACUCCUACGGGAGGCAGCAGUGGGGAAUAUUGCACAAUGGGCGCAAGCCUGAUGCAGCCAUGCCGCGUGUAUGAAGAAGGCCUUCGGGUUGUAAAGUACUUUCAGCGGGGAGGAAGGUGUUGUGGUUAAUAACCGCAGCAAUUGACGUUACCCGCAGAAGAAGCACCGGCUAACUCCGUGCCAGCAGCCGCGGUAAUACGGAGGGUGGUGCAAGCGUUAAUCGGAAUUACUGGGCGUAAAGCGCACGCAGGCGGUCUGUCAAGUCGGAUGUGAAAUCCCCGGGCUCAACCUGGGAACUGCAUUCGAAACUGGCAGGCUUGAGUCUUGUAGAGGGGGUAGAAUUCCAGGUGUAGCGGUGAAAUGCGUAGAGAUCUGGAGGAAUACCGGUGGCGAAGGCGGCCCCCUGGACAAAGACUGACGCUCAGGUGCGAAAACGUGGGGAGCAAACAGGAUUAGAUACCCUGGUAGUCCACGCCGUAAACGAUGUCUACUUGGAGGUUGUGCCCUUGAGGCGUGGCUUCCGGAGCUAACGCGUUAAGUAGACCGCCUGGGGAGUACGGCCGCAAGGUUAAAACUCAAAUGAAUUGACGGGGGCCCGCACAAGCGGUGGAGCAUGUGGUUUAAUUCGAUGCAACGCGAAGAACCUUACCUGGUCUUGACAUCCACAGAAGAAUCCAGAGAUGGAUUUGUGCCUUCGGGAACUGUGAGACAGGUGCUGCAUGGCUGUCGUCAGCUCGUGUUGUGAAAUGUUGGGUUAAGUCCCGCAACGAGCGCAACCCUUAUCCUUUGUUGCCAGCGAUUAGGUCGGGAACUCAAAGGAGACUGCCAGUGAUAAACUGGAGGAAGGUGGGGAUGACGUCAAGUCAUCAUGGCCCUUACGACCAGGGCUACACACGUGCUACAAUGGCGCAUACAAAGAGAAGCGACCUCGCGAGAGCAAGCGGACCUCAUAAAGUGCGUCGUAGUCCGGAUUGGAGUCUGCAACUCGACUCCAUGAAGUCGGAAUCGCUAGUAAUCGUGGAUCAGAAUGCCACGGUGAAUACGUUCCCGGGCCUUGUACACACCGCCCGUCACACCAUGGGAGUGGGUUGCAAAAGAAGUAGGUAGCUUAACCUUCGGGAGGGCGCUUACCACUUUGUGAUUCAUGACUGGGGUGAAGUCGUAACAAGGUAACCGUAGGGGAACCUGCGGUUGGAUCACCUCCUUA